GACGAACGCUGGCGGCGUGCUUAACACAUGCAAGUCGAACGGAAAGGCCCUGCUUUUGUGGUGGUCUCGAGUGGCGAACGGGUGAGUAACACGUGAGUAACCUGCCCUUGACUUGGGGAAAACUUCAGGAAACUGGGUCAAUUACCGGAUAGGAGCUCCUGCUGCAUGGUGGGGGUUGGAAAGUUUCGGCGGUUGGGGAUGGACUCGUGGCUUAUCAGCUUGUGGGUGGGGUAGUCGCUUACCAAGGCGUUGAUGGGUAUCCGGACUGAGAGGGUGAUCGGCGGCCUUGGGGGGUGGCCACGCCCAUUGGGCCUACGAGAGGGCGCAGUCGCGAACGUGGGGCAGUGGUGGGAAACCUGGUCCAACGGGCGCAAGUGUGAUGAGGAAACGCUCGGUUCGGGAUGCAGGCCUUUGGGUAGUGAACCGCUUUGGCCUGAGACGAUGGGUGAGUGACGGUAACGGGUAAAGAAGCACCGGCUAACUACGUG
RNAcentral lists this ribosomal RNA (488 nucleotides) under uncultured bacterium. RNAcentral's name for it is "partial 16S ribosomal RNA". It matches the Rfam family "Bacterial small subunit ribosomal RNA", at positions 28 to 507 of the family's 1533-position model. The record is from RNAcentral.